Heterocephalus glaber (naked mole-rat) is the source of this 72-nucleotide non-coding RNA. The record is from Rfam. NCBI's taxonomy places the organism in Eukaryota, Metazoa, Chordata, Mammalia, Rodentia, Bathyergidae.
GGGAGUAUAGCUCAGAGGUACAGCACUCGCCCAGCACAUUCAAAACCCUGGGUUCAAUCCCCAGUACUACCA